UAUAAGGGAUUUUGAGUUUUUGCUUGCACUGUUUGACCACUCGUCUUAUUCAAAAAAUUUUGGAAUUAUUUUUUUUUUGUGACUUACUUUAUUAUCCAAAGUACUUUAAGCACAACUUUUCAUUUUUUAUAUUUGCACAAAAUUUUUGAAUAAGACGAGUGGUCAAAUAAUGCAAACAAAAACUCAAAAUCCCUUAUA
This 198-nucleotide microRNA precursor is filed under the name Oryza glumipatula. RNAcentral's name for it is "MIR812 microRNA precursor family". It matches the Rfam family "MIR812 microRNA precursor family". The record is from Rfam by way of RNAcentral. Lineage: Eukaryota; Viridiplantae; Streptophyta; Magnoliopsida; Poales; Poaceae.